GGACCCGCACAAGCGGUGGAGCAUGUGGUUUAAUUCGAUGAUACGCGAGGAACCUUACCAGGGCUUAAAUGUAGAUUGCAUUAGCUAGAGAUAGCUAUUUCUUCGGACUAUUUACAAGGUGCUGCAUGGUUGUCGUCAGCUCGUGCCGUGAGGUGUCAGGUUAAGUCCUAUAACGAGCGCAACCCCUGUUGUUAGUUGCCAGCGAGUAAUGUCGGGAACUCUAACAAGACUGCCGGUGCAAACCGCGAGGAAGGUGGGGAUGACGUCAAAUCAUCACGGCCCUUACGCCCUGGGCCACACACGUGCUACAAUGGCCGGUACAGAGAGCAGCCACUACGCAAGUAGGCGCGAAUCUUCAAAAAGCCGGUCUCAGUUCGGAUUGAGGUCUGCAACUCGACCUCAUG
Molecule: ribosomal RNA, 404 nt
Filed under: uncultured bacterium
Lineage: Bacteria
Description: bacterial SSU rRNA
Rfam family: Bacterial small subunit ribosomal RNA
Source: RNAcentral